RNAcentral lists this small nuclear RNA (183 nucleotides) under Carlito syrichta (Philippine tarsier). Its description in RNAcentral is "U2 spliceosomal RNA (ENSTSYG00000028685.1)". It matches the Rfam family "U2 spliceosomal RNA". Rfam says of the family: U2 is a small nuclear RNA (snRNA) component of the spliceosome (involved in pre-mRNA splicing). Complementary binding between U2 snRNA (in an area lying towards the 5' end but 3' to hairpin I) and the branchpoint sequence (BPS) of the intron results the bulging out of an unpaired adenosine, on the BPS, which initiates a nucleophilic attack at the intronic 5' splice site, thus starting the first of two transesterification reactions that mediate splicing. The record is from Rfam by way of RNAcentral. Lineage: Eukaryota; Metazoa; Chordata; Mammalia; Primates; Tarsiidae.
AUUACUUCUGGGCCUUUUGGCUAAGAUCAAGUGUAAUAGUAUCUGUUCUUAUCUGAUACGUCCUCUAUCUGAGGACAAUAUAGUAAAUGGAUUUUUAGAGGAGGGAGUUGGAAGAGGAGGUUGCUCCGUUCACUCCACCAAUUGACCUGGUAUUGCAGUUCCUCCAGGAAUUGCGCACCCCCU